Long non-coding RNA from Pan troglodytes (chimpanzee), 1028 nucleotides. RefSeq lists it as uncharacterized. The record is from RefSeq and is a predicted model, not a curated record. The transcript is spliced from 4 exons. NCBI's taxonomy places the organism in Eukaryota, Metazoa, Chordata, Mammalia, Primates, Hominidae.
AUCUGUGCAAAUUGAUUAAGUGAGAGCUGUUACGCACAGCCCCCUCUCCCGGCUCCACUUUCUCACUCCCGGCCCCCCCCUUUCACCCCUACCCCCAACUCCCACCCAGCCAUUCGCCUGCAGCCCUGGAAAAGGACAGUUUCUUGUCUCCUGCAGGGCACCUAGUACCAGUUGCCUGGCACCCGGCUUUCGGAGAGGUCUGAAGACUGCCAAAUCCAUGCUAAGAACCCUCACUAUAAAGCACCAGUGAUUUUGAAGGUUCUCGAUAUCUUUCUCCACCAAAUGAGUUCCUGUGACAUCCAAGGACUUGGCUGGGAGAUACUCCUUUGGUCUGGAUAGGAUUUCCUCGUUUCCAAAUCAUCGGCGGGCGAGUGAUUGUCUUCCUUAUCUGGCUCUUGAAGGCAAUAAACCGAGUUUCAAGGAGAGGCAAAGAAACCGUGACCCGGAUACUGCCGGAGCUGCCGCGGUCGGGGCGCCCGAGCCCUAAUUAAAAGCGUCGUGGCCGCCUCUGGUUCCCGGCUGUGCGCCCAGGAGCGCGCCCUGAGGCUUUGGGCCGGGCACCCCCCACCCCCGCGCCUGGUCUGCUCAUCUCCGGGCUUCAGGCCCCCGCCCCAGCCCCUUGGAAAAGAGCAAGGCGAGCAGCCGAGCCCACCAGGGACGAGCGACCUACAUCGCGCGCAGAUACUGGGGCACCGCGAGCGCGCGUGGCCGCCGGGUCUGUCCGCCCGACUCCUGCCGAGAACGCGGCCCAGGCUGCGACCUUCGGGGUGGGUGGGGGGACAUCGUCCGGGGUUCGGCUGCCUAGACCUGCCCGAUUUUCCGCUGCCCCCAACCCCUCCUCUGUGAGGAACCUGGUAAGGCGCGCAAGUGCAGCGCGGCCCCCACCACCCCGCGUUGGGCCUCAGCUACCCUGGCGUUUCUGGGGUACCCAAGUGCGCGGCCAUGUGCCCCCAUCCUCCGCCCCGAUCCGGCCUAGCCAAAGGGGACCCCGCGGCCAAACACACUUGCUGAAUAAACGAGAGGAUUUG